GACGAACGCUGGCGGCGUGCCUAAUACAUGCAAGUCGAACGAAGGGGGGACGGGUGAGUAACACGUGGGUAACCUCGCAUCAGAGGGGAUAACACUUGGAAACAGGUGCUAAACCGAUACUGAUGGAUGGAACCGCGGUGCAUUAGCUAGUUGGUGAGGUAACGGCUCACAAAGGCCACGAUCCAUAGCCGGCCGGAUAGGGUGAUCGGCCACACUGGGACGGAGACACGGCCCAGACUCCUACGGGAGGCAGCAGUAGGGAAUCUUCGGCAAUGGACGAAAGUCUGACCGAGCAACGCCGCGUGAGUGAAGAAGGUUUUCGGAUCGUAAAACUCUGUUGUUAGAGAAGCGGUAUCUAACCAGAAAGCCACGGCUAACUACGUGCCAGCAGCCGCGGUAAUUC
RNAcentral lists this ribosomal RNA (403 nucleotides) under uncultured bacterium. Its description in RNAcentral is "partial 16S ribosomal RNA". It matches the Rfam family "Bacterial small subunit ribosomal RNA", at positions 28 to 526 of the family's 1533-position model. The record is from RNAcentral.